Molecule: ribosomal RNA, 265 nt
Filed under: Proboscia inermis
Lineage: Eukaryota; Bacillariophyta; Melosirophyceae; Probosciales; Probosciaceae
Description: partial Bacterial small subunit ribosomal RNA
Rfam family: Bacterial small subunit ribosomal RNA
Source: RNAcentral
GUCAGCUCGUGUCGUGAGAUGUUCGGUUAAGUCCGGCAACGAGCGCAACCCACAUCUUUAGUUGCCAGCAGUUCGGCUGGGCACUCUAAAGAAACUGCCCGUGAUAAGCGGGAGGAAGGUGUGGAUGACGUCAAGUCCUCAUGGCCCUUACGGGUUGGGCUACACACGUGCUACAAUGGCAGUGACAAUGGGUUAAUCCCAAAAAGCUGUCUCAGUUCGGAUUGGGGUCUGCAACUCGACCCCAUGAAGUCGGAAUCGCUAGUAA